GUUUGAGUUCUUCACCUGUCAGCUAGAUUGCACGUGCCUGUUUUUAAUAAUUGUUAAAUGUAGUACAGAAUCUGUAGUCUAUCUCACAAGAAGCACCUGGCCCCUCCCAACCCUACCGCCUUAACUAAUACAUUUUCUGCGGGAAACACCACCGACUGCUUUCCCAGUUCAUCUCACCUACUCUGCACACACGAGUCAGGUGUGUGGCUGCGGCUGAAAUAAUGUUGAACUCCAUUAAGUAGGGGGUUUUAUUCACUUUAAAUAAAGCGAUUCUCUUUAAUGUAGUUGAUGCAGACUCAUUCAUAAAUUAGUUGCAGCAAAAAUGCUGAUUACCGGUGUAAUUUUCCAAGAAUCUGCUUUAUUAGAGAUUAAAAUCUUAUCUAGUUAACGUUAGCUUGUUGCAUUGUGCAACCCCCCCCCCCUUGUUAAAUGAAAUUUACGCCCAUGUAUAUGUAAACAUAUUUUUCUUUCAUUUACACCAAUUUACAAUGUCAAACGUUUUGCAUGUUUCAGGUAAAAUGUUGGUCCAGGUCAAGUACAACGAACAGCAGAAGUAUGUGAAGCUGGAUUGCAUUGAAGAGAGGUUCGACUUUAUGCAAUUUCAUCUAAAAGGUUGUUUUUUUUUCUUCACUAUUAAAAUAAAUAAGAAUUUGAUUAAAAUCUGAAAUUCUUUGUAUUGUCCAAGCUGUCAUGUUGUUGACUCAUUUCUGUACAUGCCUUUAUCAUAUAACAUUAAUGUUUUAUAGAAGGGGACACAUUGGAAGAAAAAAAAAUUCAUUGAGAGAUUUUGCUUGCCACCAGAUGCAACAGUUACAUACAAGGAUGCAACAGGAACAGAAGUCGAUGCAGAGAUAUUCAGCGACCUCGUUGGAAAAGGCUAACUGUUUUCUCAAAUGAUGUUGGUCGAAGAAAAUUAAAAUUCAAGUCCGGUGGUGAAGCCAUAUUACAGGAGUAUCAAGAAACAAACGCUUACAGAUGCCACAAGAAGACAAAUGGUUAACCUCCUGGUGGCUCACAUGAUUGAUAUGCAUGGGCAACUCCCUACUAAACCUAUCAGAGAACCGUAUGCUCAUGGCAUGCUGUUCCCUUCCCUGAGAGAUCCAUAUUCCAAGAAAGGCUAUGUAAGUCAUUCUCUGCAUGACCAUUUCACGUUGAACUUGCAAUGGUAUUAUAUCUGCGACAUAGAAAUUUGAUUCUUUUAAGGAACACUUUUAUGAUGCUGCAAGAAACACAGGAUACAUUGCUUGGCGUAUGAAAACUGUCCACAGGCAGAUUCGACGAGGAUCUUUGCCACUAGACAGCCCUCGUAAU
Molecule: long non-coding RNA, 1311 nt
Organism: Tachysurus fulvidraco (yellow catfish)
Lineage: Eukaryota; Metazoa; Chordata; Actinopteri; Siluriformes; Bagridae
Exons: 4
Source: RefSeq, a predicted model, not a curated record